This 310-nucleotide ribosomal RNA is filed under the name uncultured soil bacterium. RNAcentral describes it as "bacterial SSU rRNA". It matches the Rfam family "Bacterial small subunit ribosomal RNA", at positions 26 to 337 of the family's 1533-position model. The record is from RNAcentral.
AGAUUGAACGCUGGCGGCAGGCCUAACACAUGCAAGUCGAGCGGUAGAGAGGUGCUUGCAUCUCUUGAGAGCGGCGGACGGGUGAGUAAUGCCUAGGAAUCUGCCUAGUGGUGGGGGAUAACGUUCGGAAACGGACGCUAAUACCGCAUACGUCCUACGGGAGAAAGGCGGGGGACCUUCGGGCCUCGCGCCAUUAGAUGAGCCUAGGUCGGAUUAGCUAGUUGGUGAGGUAAUGGCUCACCAAGGCGACGAUCCGUAACUGGUCUGAGAGGAUGAUCAGUCACACUGGAACUGAGACACGGUCCAGACU